RNAcentral lists this ribosomal RNA (460 nucleotides) under uncultured bacterium. RNAcentral's name for it is "partial 16S ribosomal RNA". It matches the Rfam family "Bacterial small subunit ribosomal RNA", at positions 338 to 795 of the family's 1533-position model. The record is from RNAcentral.
CCUACGGGAGGCAGCAGUGAGGAAUAUUGGUCAAUGGACGAGAGUCUGAACCAGCCAAGUAGCGUGAAGGAUGACUGCCCUCUGGGUUGUAAACUUCUUUUAUAUGGGAAUAAAACGUUCCACGUGUGGGAUUUUGUAUGUACCAUAUGAAUAAGGAUCGGCUAACUCCGUGCCAGCAGCCGCGGUAAUACGGAGGAUCCGAGCGUUAUCCGGAUUUAUUGGGUUUAAAGGGAGCGUAGGUGGAUUUUUAAGUCAGUUGUGAAAGUUUGCGGCUCAACCGUAAAAUUGCAGUUGAAACUGGCAGUCUUGAGUACAGUAGAGGUGGGCGGAAUUCGUGGUGUAGCGGUGAAAUGCUUAGAUAUAACGAAGAACUCCGAUUGCGAAGGCAGUUCACUGGACUGCAACUGACACUGAGGCUCGAAAGUGUGGGUAUCAAACAGGAUUAGAUACCCCAGUAGUC